UCCUCAUCGUGUCUGUUAUCAGCUGACUAGAAAACACUUGCUUUUAGUUCGAUACUUUAAUAGGUCUUCUGAAUUUUCAGUACUUUAGCGAAGACUUUCGUUUCAUCGAACAACGUUCACAGUGAGCGUAGGCGAGCUGUUAUUACGAAUUAUGAAUAUCAAAUAAUAAAGACGUUUCCCUUUCACUGUCAGCGGUAUGAGACAGGAAUGCUGCAUUUAUAAGUCACUUGAGUACACAAAGGAAGCAAC
Non-coding RNA from Paramuricea clavata, 249 nucleotides. The record is from the annotation of a GenBank genome assembly. NCBI's taxonomy places the organism in Eukaryota, Metazoa, Cnidaria, Anthozoa, Malacalcyonacea, Plexauridae.